UUAUAAGAGACAGCAGCCGCCACGGGAAUACAGAGGGUGCGAGCGUUAAUCGGAUUUACUGGGCGUAAAGCGUGCGUAGGCGGCUUCUUAAGUCGGAUGUGAAAUCCCUGAGCUUAACUUAGGAAUUGCAUUCGAUACUGGGAAGCUAGAGUAUGGGAGAGGAUGGUAGAAUUCCAGGUGUAGCGGUGAAAUGCGUAGAGAUCUGGAGGAAUACCGAUGGCGUAGGCAGCCAUCUGGCCUAAUACUGACGCUGAGGUACGAAAGCAUGGGGAGCAAACAGGAUUAGAUACCCCUGUAGUCCCUGUCUCUUAUAC
This 314-nucleotide ribosomal RNA is filed under the name uncultured bacterium. RNAcentral describes it as "partial 16S ribosomal RNA". It matches the Rfam family "Bacterial small subunit ribosomal RNA", at positions 499 to 807 of the family's 1533-position model. The record is from RNAcentral.